Molecule: ribosomal RNA, 497 nt
Filed under: uncultured bacterium
Lineage: Bacteria
Description: partial 16S ribosomal RNA
Rfam family: Bacterial small subunit ribosomal RNA
Source: RNAcentral
GAUGAACGCUGGCGGCGUGCCUAGUACAUGCAAGUCGAGCGAACAGACGAGGAGCUUGCUCCUCUGACGUUAGCGGCGGACGGGUGAGUAACACGUGGAUAACCUACCUAUAAGACUGGGAUAACUUCGGGAAACCGGAGCUAAUACCGGAUAAUAUAUUGAACCGCAUGGUUCAAUAGUGAAAGACGGUUUUGCUGUCACUUAUAGAUGGAUCCGCGCCGCAUUAGCUAGUUGGUAAGGUAACGGCUUACCAAGGCGACGAUGCGUAGCCGACCUGAGAGGGUGAUCGGCCACACUGGAACUGAGACACGGUCCAGACUCCUACGGGAGGCAGCAGUAGGGAAUCUUCCGCAAUGGGCGAAAGCCUGACGGAGCAACGCCGCGUGAGUGACGAAGGUCUUCGGAUCGUAAAACUCUGUUAUUAGGGAAGAACAAAUGUGUAAGUAACUAUGCACGUCUUGACGGUACCUAAUCAGAAAGCCACGGCUAACUACGUG